AGAGCAGCACGUUGUUUGGAGAAGUAUUUCCCAACAAGUUCAGGAAGACACACUUUGAGAAAGAAGUCUUGUGCUUGCUUUAAACGUGGUUCCCAGAAAUCCACUUCAGGGAAGAUGCGUAUCACAGCAAGGUCUCUCUGUGUCCACACAACGAGGUCACAGUGGUUGGCGCCAGUAACAAAGAUUUGUGUUUGUACCUGACAGUAGUGUAUCCAGUAAUGGUGACAAAUCCUCCAGCGUUGCAAUAGGAAAAGUACCAAAUCCCCUGUACUCAUAUAGUGACUCAGAGGAUGAGCAGCCCACAAAAAAACGGUUUCCCCAGGCCCCUCGAGUGAAAAUACCAGCCCUCACCACUCCGCAGUCUUCCCCCCAGCCCACUGACAGCAGGCAUCAUAAUGCCCCUCCCAGCUUCCGGCACCUUUCGCCACUCCGGCAGAACACUCCAAACGACACAGCUUUGCAAUCUCCCCAGCAUGCAUGAGUCUGAUGUCGAGGCCUUCCCUAUAGAUGAUUCCAGAGACUCUGUGAGGCCACUAUUACAAGAUGCGACCUCACAAAAGAUGUUAACGAUGCUGUCAGACCUGACCAGAGCAGUUAACGAACUCCGUGAGGAGGUCAGAGCCAUCCGCCAUCCCUGCUGCAAUGAAUCGGUAGAUGCUGGGGUACUGCCUCUGGAUUUGCUCUUGCACAACAUUAAGGAGCUAAACAAUGCAGAGGCAGCUCUUCAAUCGCAAGAGGCAAAUAAGGCAAUGGUGAGACGCUUUGCCUUGAUUGGAGGGACCACACUGGAGGUGCGAGUCCGCCGUGUAAUGGCUUAUGCCAUCACAAACGAGCUGGCCUCAGUACUAAACUGGGCAGGGAAAAAAACAAAGGACCAGACGAAGCAAAAAAGGGCAUUUAAAGAUACAGCGCUGUGCAGAUGCAUAUUUGAUGGCCUGACGCAGCAGUUAGGGGCAAACUCUAUGUCAGAGUUUGUCUUUGCACAGGCAGUGCAGAAAUGGCUCCAAUACGCCCCAGAUCGUUUGGGUGGCGCAGGAUGCACAUCAUCCGUCCCCAUCCCGCAGUAAAAACUACAAAGUUAUGUUAAAAUAUAAAUGUAAAUAGAAAACUGUGUUUUAAUAAAGUAUUUAGCAAAC
Molecule: long non-coding RNA, 1136 nt
Organism: Oreochromis aureus
Lineage: Eukaryota; Metazoa; Chordata; Actinopteri; Cichliformes; Cichlidae
Source: Ensembl